Gopherus flavomarginatus (Mexican gopher tortoise) is the source of this 497-nucleotide long non-coding RNA. RefSeq lists it as uncharacterized. The transcript is spliced from 3 exons. Lineage: Eukaryota; Metazoa; Chordata; Testudines; Testudinidae. The record is from RefSeq and is a predicted model, not a curated record.
GGUUGGAGGUCACGGGGAGCAGAGCAAGGAGAUUGAUGCUGCUGGCCAUGCAAAGCCCUGUGGUGGGUUUAAAUAUAAAAAGAGCUUGCAAAGGACCAUAGUGCGCACUAGCAAGCCUGCAAAUGCCAGAGUGAUCCGCCUGCAAAAUAUUAGCAGUAAAGGACACCAGGCCUGCAAAAUACUUGAGCGGGAGUUCCGCAAAAGGAAGAGGAAAUUUGAGAUCAAGUCUGGAGUUGGUGUUUCAGGCCUUCAUCAGCUUAAGCUGAAUGGAGUGGGUCCAUUCACCACGUAGCACAAACAGGCCAACCCGCGCUGCUGUUUGAAUUGCUCUGCUUAUGUCAACCCAUUUUAGAAGAUGGGGUUUGCAAGGGCUCGGUGACGAGAGUCCAAACUCCAGAUUCGUCAGUUUCGUUCAAUGAGGGCUGGCUUCGAUAAUGGAGCCAAAAGGCUUUGCGGCGUCUCCCUUGGGGUGACCCUAUGGCUUAGGUGUUUCAGGU